ACCUACCGGAUUCCUUCCCCAUUAGUCCUAACCACAGGGCUGAGUGGCUAUAAAAGGAGGAGAGCUGAACCUGAAACUGACUUCAAUUCUCUGCGACACACAGCUAGUUUCAGACUCAG
This 119-nucleotide small nucleolar RNA is filed under the name Echinops telfairi (small Madagascar hedgehog). Its description in RNAcentral is "Small nucleolar RNA SNORA61 (ENSETEG00000026665.1)". The record is from RNAcentral. Lineage: Eukaryota; Metazoa; Chordata; Mammalia; Afrosoricida; Tenrecidae.